RNAcentral lists this ribosomal RNA (471 nucleotides) under uncultured bacterium. Its description in RNAcentral is "bacterial SSU rRNA". It matches the Rfam family "Bacterial small subunit ribosomal RNA", at positions 8 to 504 of the family's 1533-position model. The record is from RNAcentral.
AGAGUUUGAUCCUGGCUCAGGAUGAACGCUGGCGGCGUGCCUAACACAUGCAAGUCGAACGGUGGUUGCAAGACUACAGUGGCGCACGGGUGAGUAACACGUAGCUAACCUGCCUUGAAGCGCGGGAUAACGGUUCGAAAGAGCAGCUAAUACCGCAUAAGCUCGGGUUCUGCAGAGGGACGCGAGAAAAGGCUUCGGUCACUUCAAGAGGGGGCUGCGGCCCAUCAGGUAGUUGGUGGGGUAAGAGCCUACCAAGCCGACGACGGGUAGGGGGCCUGAGAGGGUGGACCCCCACACUGGGACUGAGAGACGGCCCAGACUCCUACGGGAGGCAGCAGUGAGGGAUAUUGGUCAAUGGGGGAAACCCUGAACCAGCGACGCCGCGUGGGUGACGAAGGUCUUCGGAUCGUAAAGCCCUUUUCUGCGGGAAGAGAGAGGACGGUACCGCAGGAAGAAGUCUCGGCUAACUAC